This 510-nucleotide ribosomal RNA is filed under the name uncultured bacterium. Its description in RNAcentral is "partial 16S ribosomal RNA". It matches the Rfam family "Bacterial small subunit ribosomal RNA", at positions 28 to 523 of the family's 1533-position model. The record is from RNAcentral.
GACGAACGCUGGCGGCGUGCUUAACACAUGCAAGUGGUGCGACGAACCAGGCUUCGGCCUGGGGCGAAGCCGCGAACGGGUGAGUAACACGUGGGCAAUCUGCCCCUUUGAUCGGGACAACCCGGGGAAACCCGGGCUAAUACCGAAUGAGGUGGCGACUCAUGAGAGUCGUCACGAAAGGAAGCUUCGGCCUCCGCGAAGGGAUGAGCCCGCGGCCCAUUAGCUGGUUGGUGGGGUAAUGGCCUACCAAGGCAACGAUGGGUAGCUGGUCUGAGAGGACGAUCAGCCACGCUGGGACUGCGACACGGCCCAGACUCCUACGGGAGGCAGCAGUAGGGAAUAUUGCGCAAUGGAGGAAACUCUGACGCAGCGACGCCGCGUGGGUGAUGAAGGCCUUCGGGUCGUAAAGCCCUGUCGGAAGGGAUGAAAAACAUUCGGGAUAACACCCCGAGUGCUUGACGGUACCUUCAGAGGAAGCACCGGCUAACUACGUGCCAGCAGCCGCGGUAA